Thamnophis sirtalis is the source of this 375-nucleotide non-coding RNA. Lineage: Eukaryota; Metazoa; Chordata; Lepidosauria; Squamata; Natricidae. The record is from RefSeq and is a predicted model, not a curated record.
GGGAGCUGCACGAGGCGCCUGAGGUGGGAGCAACGCCGUCAAGAGAAGGAGGAGGAGCGCAGAUGAUAUGGAAAGAUUCUGUGAAGCCUUUCCUGAAAAGGAAGACUAUAACUCCAGACCCUGUCCCCUGCUGUUGUAAUCCAGUUCUCCUGUGCUAAUAUUGAAGCAGUGAAGAAUUAUUCCCAGUUCUCAUGUCAGUGAUAAAAGGACCCUCUUUGUAAAAGAGAAGAUUAGGACCAUCUGCCUCUUCUGCCUCUUCCUCCUCCUCUCCUCCUCCUCCUCCUCCUCCUUACAAAGAAACGAGUAGGUGGAUCUCCAGCAGCAGUUCUGGAAAAAAAUCAGAGCGGGCCAGGAAUCGGAGAAAACCAUGGUGAA